CUUUACUGUAGCCUGGUAUUGGGUUCGGGCUUUGACUGCGCAGGAUAGGUGGGAGACUGAGAAGUGUGCCUUGUGGGGCACAUAGAGUCAACGGUGAGAUACCACUCUGUCAGAGCUAGAAUUCUAAACUUCACCCGUGAUCCGGGGCAGGAACCGUAUCAGGUGGGCAGUUUGACUGGGGCGGUCGACUCCUAAAAGGUAACGGAGGCGCGCAAAGGUGUUCUCAGGCUGGUUGGAAAUCAGCCGUAGAGUGUAAAGGCAGAAGAACGCUUGACUGUGAGAGUGACAACUCAAGCAGGGUGGAAACACGGCCUUAGUGAUCCGACGGUAUGCGCGUGGAAGUGCCGUCGCUCAACGGAUAAAAGUUA
This 368-nucleotide ribosomal RNA is filed under the name uncultured organism. Its description in RNAcentral is "bacterial LSU rRNA". It matches the Rfam family "Bacterial large subunit ribosomal RNA", at positions 2099 to 2465 of the family's 2925-position model. The record is from RNAcentral.